CAUGCAGUCGAGGGGUAUAGUUCUUCGGAACUAGAGACCGGCGCACGGGUGCGUAACGCGUAUGCAAUCUACCUUUUGCAGAGGGAUAGCCCAGAGAAAUUUGGAUUAAUACCUCAUAGUAUGUGAGAAUGGCAUCAUUUUCACAUUAAAGUCACAACGGCAAAAGAUGAGCAUGCGUCCCAUUAGCUAGUUGGUAAGGUAACGGCUUACCAAGGCAACGAUGGGUAGGGGUCCUGAGAGGGAGAUCCCCCACACUGGUACUGAGACACGGACCAGACUCCUACGGGAGGCAGCAGUGAGGAAUAUUGGACAAUGGGCGCAAGCCUGAUCCAGCCAUGCCGCGUGCAGGAUGACGGUCCUAUGGAUUGUAAACUGCUUUUGUACAGGAAGAAACACUGGUUCGUGAACCAGCUUGACGGUACUGUAAGAAUAAGGAUCGGCUAACUCCGUGCCAGCAGCCGCGGUAAUACGGAGGAUCCAAGCGUUAUCCGGAAUCAUUGGGUUUAAAGGGUCCGUAGGCGGUUUAGUAAGUCAGUGGUGAAAGCCCAUCGCUCAACGGUGGAACGGCCAUUGAUACUGCUAGACUUGAAUUAUUAGGAAGUAACUAGAAUAUGUAGUGUAGCGGUGAAAUGCUUAGAGAUUACAUGGAAUACCAAUUGCGAAGGCAGGUUACUACUAAUGGAUUGACGCUGAUGGACGAAAGCGUGGGUAGCGAACAGGAUUAGAUACCCUGGUAGUCCACGCCGUAAACGAUGGAUACUAGCUGUUGGGGGCAACUUCAGUGGCUAAGCGAAAGUGAUAAGUAUCCCACCUGGGGAGUACGUUCGCAAGAAUGAAACUCAAAGGAAUUGACGGGGGGCC
RNAcentral lists this ribosomal RNA (861 nucleotides) under Flavobacterium sp. Its description in RNAcentral is "bacterial SSU rRNA". It matches the Rfam family "Bacterial small subunit ribosomal RNA", at positions 54 to 922 of the family's 1533-position model. Lineage: Bacteria; Pseudomonadati; Bacteroidota; Flavobacteriia; Flavobacteriales; Flavobacteriaceae. The record is from RNAcentral.